AUUGAACGCUGGCGGUAGGCCUAACACAUGCAAGUCGAACGCGAAAGUCCUUCGGAUGAGUAGAGUGGCGGACGGGUGAGUAACGCGUAGGAAUCUAUCCUGUAGUGGGGGAGUAACGUUUCGAAAGGAACGCUAAUACCGCAUACGCCCCAACGGGGGAAAGACGGGGGAGUCUUCGGACCUCGUGCUAUAGGAGGAGCCUGCGUCGGAUUAGCUAGUUGGUGAGGUAAAGGCUCACCAAGGCGACGAUCCGUAGCUGGUCUGAGAGGAUGAUCAGCCACACUGGAACUGAGACACGGUCCAGACUCCUACGGGAGGCAGCAGUGGGGAAUAUUGGACAAU
RNAcentral lists this ribosomal RNA (342 nucleotides) under uncultured bacterium. Its description in RNAcentral is "bacterial SSU rRNA". It matches the Rfam family "Bacterial small subunit ribosomal RNA", at positions 30 to 372 of the family's 1533-position model. The record is from RNAcentral.